UACAGAGGUCUCAAGCGUUGUUCGGAUUCAUUGGGCGUAAAGGGUGCGUAGGCGGCGCGGUAAGUCGGGUGUGAAAUCUUGGAGCUUAACUCCGAAACUGCAUUCGAUACUGCCGUGCUUGAGGACUGGAGAGGAGACUGGAAUUUACGGUGUAGCGGUGAAAUGCGUAGAUAUCGUAAGGAAGACCAGUGGCGAAGGCGGCCUUCUGGACGGUGACUGACGCUGAGGCGCGAAAGCGUGGGGAGCGAACAGG
RNAcentral lists this ribosomal RNA (253 nucleotides) under uncultured bacterium. Its description in RNAcentral is "partial 16S ribosomal RNA". It matches the Rfam family "Bacterial small subunit ribosomal RNA", at positions 524 to 776 of the family's 1533-position model. The record is from RNAcentral.